ACGCAMGUGACUGURCCUGCAGAAKAAGCACCGGMUAACUACSUGCCRRCAGCCGCGGUAAUACRUAGGGUGCGAGCGUUGUCCGGAUUUAUUGGGCGUAAAGAGCUUGUAGGCGGCUCGUCACGUCGGGUGUGAAAACUCGCGGCUCAACCGCGAGCCUGCACCCGAUACGGGCGGGCUAGAGUUCGGCAGGGGAGACUGGAAUUCCUGGUGUAGCGGUGGAAUGCGCAGAUAUCAGGAGGAACACCGGUGGCGAAGGCGGRUCUCUGGGCCGAUACUGACGCUGAGAAGCGAAAGCGUGGGGAGCGAACAGGAUUAGAUACCCUGGUAGUCCACGCCGUAAACGUUGGGAACUAGGUGUGGGGUCCAUUCCACGGGCUCUGUGCCGCARCUAACGCAUUAAGUUCCCCGCCUGGGGAGUACGGCCGCAAGGCUAAAACUCAAA
This 445-nucleotide ribosomal RNA is filed under the name uncultured bacterium. RNAcentral describes it as "partial 16S ribosomal RNA". It matches the Rfam family "Bacterial small subunit ribosomal RNA", at positions 463 to 905 of the family's 1533-position model. The record is from RNAcentral.